This 356-nucleotide small RNA is filed under the name Pongo abelii (Sumatran orangutan). Its description in RNAcentral is "processed transcript". The record is from RNAcentral. Lineage: Eukaryota; Metazoa; Chordata; Mammalia; Primates; Hominidae.
CAUCAUUUUCCAUUAUACUUGAAUAUAGAGAGCCACAUACUGCUGCCUAGAUAUUAAUAGUCAUGACAUUAGUUCAGAUCUUGACUUUGUUUUAUAUUUCUCUAGUCGGCGUGGCACAAGCCUAAUGGAAGAUGAUGAAGAGCCAAUUGUUGAAGAUGUUAUGAUGUCCUCAGAAGGGAGGAUUGAGGAUCUUAAUGAGGGAAUGGAUUUUGACACCAUGGAUAUAGAUUUGCCACCAUCAAAGAACAGACGAGAGAGAACAGAACUGAAGCCUGAUUUCUUUGAUCCAGCUUCAAUUAUGGAUGAAUCAGUAGGUUUAAUUUAAAUGUACCCUAGGAUUGCAAAAUCAGAAGUAU